RNAcentral lists this ribosomal RNA (489 nucleotides) under uncultured bacterium. RNAcentral describes it as "partial 16S ribosomal RNA". It matches the Rfam family "Bacterial small subunit ribosomal RNA", at positions 27 to 507 of the family's 1533-position model. The record is from RNAcentral.
GGACGAACGCUGGCGGCGUGCUUACCACAUGCAAGUCGAACGGAAAGGCCCUGCUUUUGUGGGGUGCUCGAGUGGCGAACGGGUGAGUAACACGUGAGUAACCUGCCCUUGACUUUGGGAUAACUUCAGGAAACUGGGGCUAAUACCGGAUAGGAGCUCCUGCUGCAUGGUGGGGGUUGGAAAGUUUCGGCGGUUGGGGAUGGACUCGCGGCUUAUCAGCUUGUUGGUGGGGUAGUGGCUUACCAAGGCUUUGACGGGUAGCCGGCCUGAGAGGGUGACCGGCCACAUUGGGACUGAGAUACGGCCCAGACUCCUACGGGAGGCAGCAGUGGGGAAUAUUGCACAAUGGGCGGAAGCCUGAUGCAGCAACGCCGCGUGGGUGAAGAAGGCCUUCGGGUUGUAAAGCCCUUUUGUUGGGAAAGAAAAGCAGCAGGUUAAUACCCCGCUGUUCUGACGGUACCCAAAGAAUAAGCACCGGCUAACUUCGUG